CGGCUCAGUUGGAGGCUGAAGAUUCAUAAAGAUCGGGCAGGAGAGGGAGGAAGGAGCGUAGUUUUCAAGCUCAGCAUAAUUUGUUCUGGAAGGCGCACAGUUGUGUGAUGCGGAGCCCUGUUGGCCCCAGAAGGUUGCUUCCACCUGCUUUGGGUCGGUCACCUGCCUUCCCCAGGACAUGAGCCAUGGUUGAGAGGAAGUGGAGCCGCAGGUGCACUGGCAGCCUUUCUGGCACCACAGGGAAUCUGCUGAGAGGCCUCACGGUGGAGCUUCCAGGGAAAUCAGGCAUCUGGAGUCCUCCCACGACAUCCAGCCUGCUCCUCACCUUCCAAGAGUCAGUAACGUCCCUGGGAUGCGGGCUUCCGCCGUUCCUGUUGUGAGUCGCAGUUGUUAAAGCAGCACAGCUGGCUCAGCUGCUCCCCGAGAUGCACGUGCCCUGCACCCUGGAAGAGGAAAGAUUGCGGUCACGCAUGCAGCCUGGGGCCCUUGUGCCCAGAAUGCUCAGGCACACGGCGUCACUGACGGGGAGGGCCCAGCGAGGCUGGGGACCAUCACGUGACCUCCCCGGGUCGCUCUGCCAACCCCACUGUGCUGACCCAGGCCUCUGACCGGAGGGCAGGCAAUCCUCGCACCCGGCACUGGGGCUGCACUGGGCACCCAGCUCCUCCCGAGGACGAACGUCCAGGCCGGCAGGAGAAGGCCAGGCCCACCGAGCCCCUGCCGCAGAGGUGGCAGUGAGCGCCAGGGUGGCCACACCCUCCGGCGGUGUCGCGGUCACUCCGCAGCGCCCAGCCCCCAUCCUCGGGCCUCUGCCCGCCCGCCGAGGGGUGAACAGGAGCCGGGCCUCGGGUCUGAUGCACCCGCAGGAAGGCAAGCCUCAGCCGGCUCCCGGUGCCACCCUGGAGUCGCCGCGAUUCUCGGCGUCCCUCGGUGCCAGCACUACCGCUGCAGGGACGCUUCCACACCACGGGAAAGUCACAGCACCGACUCAGAGGGCAGCUCGUGGAGUUAAACCACCACGGAGCCGGGCGCAGUGGGGCAUGCCUGUCAUCCUAACACUCUGG
Molecule: long non-coding RNA, 1064 nt
Organism: Heterocephalus glaber (naked mole-rat)
Lineage: Eukaryota; Metazoa; Chordata; Mammalia; Rodentia; Bathyergidae
Source: Ensembl